UAAUUGAAGAGUUUGAUCAUGGCUCAGAUUGAACGCUGGCGGCAGGCCUAACACAUGCAAGUCGAGCGGAAACGAAGAGGUGCUUGCACCUCUGGCGUCGAGCGGCGGACGGGUGAG
RNAcentral lists this ribosomal RNA (117 nucleotides) under Pseudoalteromonas shioyasakiensis. RNAcentral's name for it is "partial 16S ribosomal RNA". It matches the Rfam family "Bacterial small subunit ribosomal RNA", at positions 1 to 110 of the family's 1533-position model. Lineage: Bacteria; Pseudomonadati; Pseudomonadota; Gammaproteobacteria; Alteromonadales; Pseudoalteromonadaceae. RNAcentral also lists the same sequence under 3 other names. The record is from RNAcentral.